CCCUACGGGGCGCAGCAGGCGCGAAAACUCUACAAUGCAGGCAACUGCGAUAGGGGGACAUCGAGUGGCAUCCACCUUGGGUGCCUGUCCAGCCGUCUAAAAAACGGCUGUUAGCAAGGGCCGGGUAAGACCGGUGCCAGCCGCCGCGGUAAUACCGGCGGCUCGAGUGGUGGCCGAUAUUAUUGAGUCUAAAGGGUCCGUAGCCGGCUUUGCAAGUCCCCUGGGAAAUCCAGCGGCUUAACCGUUGGGCUUUCAUGGGAUACUACAUUGCUUGGGACUGGGAGAGGUAGGAGGUACUCGGGGGGUAGGGGUGAAAUCCUGUAAUCC
RNAcentral lists this ribosomal RNA (327 nucleotides) under uncultured methanogenic archaeon. RNAcentral's name for it is "bacterial SSU rRNA". It matches the Rfam family "Archaeal small subunit ribosomal RNA", at positions 321 to 648 of the family's 1478-position model. The record is from RNAcentral. Lineage: Archaea; Methanobacteriati; Methanobacteriota.